RNAcentral lists this small RNA (148 nucleotides) under Sinorhizobium meliloti 2011. Its description in RNAcentral is "putative ncRNA". Lineage: Bacteria; Pseudomonadati; Pseudomonadota; Alphaproteobacteria; Hyphomicrobiales; Rhizobiaceae. The record is from RNAcentral.
AAAGCCUUGCCGCCAGAACCCUCAAAAAGUCAACUGGGGGGAGCUCGGACACCGUCGCCAGUCGGCGACUGUAACGUCGCGCAUAGCACGGGGACACAUAUCCGAAACGCUGAUACCGACAGGGGCCAAUAUCUGCCGGGGCAAUCUU